GACGAACGCUGGCGGCGUGCUUAACACAUGCAAGUCGAACGGAAAGGCCCUGCUUUUGUGGGGUGCUCGAGUGGCGAACGGGUGAGUAACACGUGAGUAACCUGCCCUUGACUUUGGGAUAACUUCAGGAAACUGGGGCUAAUACCGGAUAGGUGCUCCUGCUGCAUGGUGGGGGUUGGAAAGUUUCGGCGGUUGGGGAUGGACUCGCGGCUUAUCAGCUUGUUGGUGGGGUAGUGGCUUACCAAGGCUUUGACGGGUAGCCGGCCUGAGAGGGUGACCGGCCACAUUGGGACUGAGAUACGGCCCAGACUCCUACGGGAGGCAGCAGUGGGGAAUAUUGCACAAUGGGCGGAAGCCUGAUGCAGCAACGCCGCGUGCGGGAUGACGGCCUUCGGGUUGUAAACCGCUUUCGCCUGUGACGAAGCGUGAGUGACGGUAAUGGGUAAAGAAACACCGGCUAACUACGUA
RNAcentral lists this ribosomal RNA (468 nucleotides) under uncultured bacterium. RNAcentral's name for it is "partial 16S ribosomal RNA". It matches the Rfam family "Bacterial small subunit ribosomal RNA", at positions 28 to 507 of the family's 1533-position model. The record is from RNAcentral.